GUGUAUACGAUACAGUGCAUCUAGGGCUGUCACUGACUUUUUGUCGUGCACGCCCAAAAGUGGCUCUCAUUCAUCCAUCCCCCCCCUAUGUGCACCACCGCGGGGGUCCCCCUUUGGUUGGUCCUCAGGGGGGCUGGCGUUUUCUUACAACCUCGAUACAGGGAAAAAGGUCUUUAUUUUGCGGUAACACCCAUUCAAAACAACUUUCAACAACGGAUCUCUUGGCUCUCGCAUCAAUGAAAAACGCAGCGAAUGGCAAAACGUAUGGUGAAUUGCAAAAUUCAGGGAAUCUUCAAAUCUUUGAACGCACCUGGCGCCCCUUGGCUUUCCGAGGGGCACACCCGUUUGAUGGUCGGGAAAUUCUCAAAACCCUUCCUUUUUAGGGAUUUUGGACUUGGAGGCUUUUUUGGUGGCUUCACUUUGAAGCGAUCCCCUCUUAUGUGGAUUAGUGGGGUCUGCUUUGCCGAUCCUUGACGAGAUAAGAUGCUUCCACCUCUCGGGUUUGGCAUCGUGCAUCUGCUUCAAACCGUCUCCUCGACAAUGGUGGCUCUCCGGUCACCACCGUUUCAUCGGUGGGAGGCUUGACCCACAAAAAAACCCUUGACCUCAAAUCGGGUGAGACUACCCGCUGAACUUACGCAUAUCUAUAAGCGGAAGAA
Molecule: ribosomal RNA, 659 nt
Filed under: uncultured Russula
Lineage: Eukaryota; Fungi; Basidiomycota; Agaricomycetes; Russulales; Russulaceae
Description: eukaryotic LSU rRNA
Rfam family: 5.8S ribosomal RNA (bases 202-355)
Source: RNAcentral